This 468-nucleotide ribosomal RNA is filed under the name uncultured bacterium. RNAcentral's name for it is "partial 16S ribosomal RNA". It matches the Rfam family "Bacterial small subunit ribosomal RNA", at positions 29 to 507 of the family's 1533-position model. The record is from RNAcentral.
ACGCACGCUGGCGGCGUGCUUAACACCUGCCAGUCGAACGGAAAGGCCCUGCUUGCCGGGUGCUCGAGUGGCGAACGGGUGAGUAACACGUGGGUGAUCUGCCCCUUACUUUGGGAUAAGCCUGGGAAACUGGGUCUAAUACUGGAUAGGACCAUGCUGUAGGUGGUGUGGUGGAAAGAUUAGUUUCGGUAAGGGAUGAGCUCGCGGCCUAUCAGCUUGUUGGUGGGGUAAUGGCCUACCAAGGCGUCGACGGGUAGCCGGCCUGAGAGGGUGGACGGCCACAUUGGGACUGAGAUACGGCCCAGACUCCUACGGGAGGCAGCAGUGGGGAAUAUUGCACAAUGGGCGCAAGCCUGAUGCAGCGACGCCGCGUGGGGGAUGACGGCCUUCGGGUUGUAAACUCCUUUCAGCCAUGACGAAGCCCUUGUGGUGACGGUAGUGGUAGAAGAAGCACCGGCUAACUACGUG